CUGGAGGUAUCAGAAGUGCGAAUGCUGACAUAAGUAACGAUAAAGCGGGUGAAAAGCCCGCUCGCCGGAAGACCAAGGGUUCCUGUCCAACGUUAAUCGGGGCAGGGUGAGUCGACCCCUAAGGCGAGGCCGAAAGGCGUAGUCGAUGGGAAACGGGUUAAUAUUCCCGUACUUGGUGUUACUGCGAAGGGGGGACGGAGAAGGCUAUGUUGGCCGGGCGACGGUUGUCCCGGUUUAAGCGUGUAGGUGUGUGUUCCAGGUAAAUCCGGUUCACUUUAACACUGAGGCGUGACGACGAGGCACUACGGUGCUGAAGCAACAAAUGCCCUGCUUCCAGGAAAAGCCUCUAAGCAUCAGGUAACAUCAAAUCGUACCCCAAACCGACACAGGUGGUCAGGUAGAGAAUACCAAGGCGCUUGAGAGAACUCGGGUGAAGGAACUAGGCAAAAUGGUGCCGUAACUUCGGGAGAAGGCACGCUGACACGUAGGUGAAGUGAUUUACUCACGGAGCUGAAGUCAGUCGAAGAUACCAGCUGGCUGCAACUGUUUAUUAAAAACACAGCACUGUGCAAACACGAAAGUGGACGUAUACGGUGUGACGCCUGCCCGGUGCCGGAAGGUUAAUUGAUGGGGUCAGCGCAAGCGAAGCUCCUGAUCGAAGCCCCGGUAAACGGCGGCCGUAACUAUAACGGUCCUAAGGUAGCGAAAUUCCUUGUCGGGUAAGUUCCGACCUGCACGAAUGGCGUAAUGAUGGCCAGGCUGUCUCCACCCGAGACUCAGUGAAAUUGAACUCGCUGUGAAGAUGCAGUGUACCCGCGGCAAGACGGAAAGACCCCGUGAACCUUUACUAUAGCUUGACACUGAACAUUGAGCCUUGAUGUGUAGGAUAGGUGGGAGGCUUUGAAGUGUGGACGCCAGUCUGCAUGGAGCCGACCUUGAAAUACCACCCUUUAAUGUUUGAUGUUCUAACGUGGACCCGUGAUCCGGGUUGCGGACAGUGUCUGGUGGGUAGUUUGACUGGGGCGGUCUCCUCCUAAAGAGUAACGGAGGAGCACGAAGGUUGGCUAAUCCUGGUCGGACAUCAGGAGGUUAGUGCAAUGGCAUAAGCCAGCUUGACUGCGAGCGUGACGGCGCGAGCAGGUGCGAAAGCAGGUCAUAGUGAUCCGGUGGUUCUGAAUGGAAGGGCCAUCGCUCAACGGAUAAAAGGUACUCCGGGGAUAACAGGCUGAUACCGCCCAAGAGUUCAUAUCGACGGCGGUGUUUGGCACCUCGAUGUCGGCUCAUCACAUCCUGGGGCUGAAGUAGGUCCCAAGGGUAUGGCUGUUCGCCAUUUAAAGUGGUACGCGAGCUGGGUUUAGAACGUCGUGAGACAGUUCGGUCCCUAUCUGCCGUGGGCGCUGGAGAACUGAGGGGGGCUGCUCCUAGUACGAGAGGACCGGAGUGGACGCAUCACUGGUGUUCGGGUUGUCAUGCCAAUGGCACUGCCCGGUAGCUAAAUGCGGAAGAGAUAAGUGCUGAAAGCAUCUAAGCACGAAACUUGCCCCGA
RNAcentral lists this ribosomal RNA (1546 nucleotides) under Salmonella enterica subsp. enterica serovar Rubislaw. RNAcentral describes it as "partial 23S ribosomal RNA". It matches the Rfam family "Bacterial large subunit ribosomal RNA", at positions 1273 to 2802 of the family's 2925-position model. RNAcentral also lists the same sequence under 3 other names. Lineage: Bacteria; Pseudomonadati; Pseudomonadota; Gammaproteobacteria; Enterobacterales; Enterobacteriaceae. The record is from RNAcentral.